Molecule: ribosomal RNA, 403 nt
Filed under: uncultured bacterium
Lineage: Bacteria
Description: bacterial SSU rRNA
Rfam family: Bacterial small subunit ribosomal RNA
Source: RNAcentral
UAGGGAAUAUUGCAAAAUGGGCGAAAGCCCGAUGCAGCAACGCCGCGUGGGCGAUGAAGGCCUUCGGGUCGUAAAGCCCUUUUUGAGGGGAUGAGGAAGGACGGUACCGGUGGAAUAAGCCUCGGCUAACUACGUGCCAGCAGCCGCGGUAAAACGGAGGAGGCGAGCGUUAUCCGGAUUUACUGGGGGUAAAGCGCGUGCAGGCGGUUGGCUAAGUUGGGUGUGAAAGCUCCUGGCUCAACUGGGGGAGGUCGCUCAAGACUGGCCGACUGGAGAGCGGGAAGGGAAGGUGGAAUUCCGGGUGUAGUGGUGAAAUGCGUAGAUAUCCGGAGGAACACCAGUGGCGAAGGCGGCCUUCUGGACUGCAUCUGACGCUCAGACGAGAAAGCUAGGGGAGCAAACG